GCCAGUAGCUAUAUCACUCUGCAACUUACAACUGGCAACCCAUUAAAGCUAAGCAGGUGUGAGCCUGGUCAGUACCUUGAUGGGAGACCUCCUGGGAAAAACUAAGGUUGCUGCUGGAA
Molecule: ribosomal RNA, 119 nt
Organism: Lepisosteus oculatus (spotted gar)
Lineage: Eukaryota; Metazoa; Chordata; Actinopteri; Semionotiformes; Lepisosteidae
Source: Rfam